AUGCCAGUGAUGAGAUCAUAAUCGAGAGUUAAUUUCUUUCCGUAGAUCCCAGUACAGCAAGCAGAGGGUAACUCCAUCAGCCCCGGCACAGCCAGGUUUUCCAUCUUUCCCACUCGGCGACUUGUCAAGUUCAAUUAACAUCAAGCCACAGGUGUAUGGAAAAAGAAAAUCAAAUGUCGAGUGAAGAGGACAAAAACAAACCCUGUGAGCCCAAGUGCUGUGAGCCCAAGUGCUGUGAGCCCAAGUGCUGUGAGCCCAGAUGUUGUGAGCCCAGAUGCCAACCAAGCUGCCUGAGAAAACUUCUGCAGCGGUGCUCUGAGAAAUGCGCUCCAACCUGCCCAGUCAAGUGUUUCCCGUGCCCUCCUCCGUGCCCCAAGCCUUGUCCAC
Long non-coding RNA from Sarcophilus harrisii (Tasmanian devil), 387 nucleotides. RefSeq lists it as uncharacterized. The transcript has 2 exons. Lineage: Eukaryota; Metazoa; Chordata; Mammalia; Dasyuromorphia; Dasyuridae. The record is from RefSeq and is a predicted model, not a curated record.